RNAcentral lists this signal recognition particle RNA (88 nucleotides) under Stenotrophomonas maltophilia. RNAcentral describes it as "Bacterial small signal recognition particle RNA". It matches the Rfam family "Bacterial small signal recognition particle RNA". Rfam says of the family: The signal recognition particle (SRP) is a universally conserved ribonucleoprotein involved in the co-translational targeting of proteins to membranes. Lineage: Bacteria; Pseudomonadati; Pseudomonadota; Gammaproteobacteria; Lysobacterales; Lysobacteraceae. The record is from RNAcentral.
UCGGCCCCUCGCGACGCUAGAUCGAAAACCCCGCCAGGGCCGGAAGGCAGCAACGGUAUCGAUCGACGCGGGCGCCGAGGUCAGCCGG